RNAcentral lists this ribosomal RNA (154 nucleotides) under Fuscoporia torulosa. RNAcentral describes it as "5.8S ribosomal RNA". It matches the Rfam family "5.8S ribosomal RNA". Rfam says of the family: 5.8S ribosomal RNA (5.8S rRNA) is a component of the large subunit of the eukaryotic ribosome. The record is from RNAcentral. Lineage: Eukaryota; Fungi; Basidiomycota; Agaricomycetes; Hymenochaetales; Hymenochaetaceae. RNAcentral also lists the same sequence under 2 other names.
AACUUUCAACAACGGAUCUCUUGGCUCUCGCAUCGAUGAAGAACGCAGCGAAAUGCGAUAAGUAAUGUGAAUUGCAGAAUUCAGUGAAUCAUCGAAUCUUUGAACGCACCUUGCGCUCCUUGGUAUUCCGAGGAGCAUGCCUGUUUGAGUGUUA